Molecule: unclassified non-coding RNA, 399 nt
Filed under: soil metagenome
Description: partial contains 5.8S ribosomal RNA, internal transcribed spacer 2, and large subunit ribosomal RNA
Rfam family: 5.8S ribosomal RNA (bases 1-120)
Source: RNAcentral
GAUGAAGAACGCAGUGAAAUGCGAUACUUGGUGUGAAUUGCAGAAUCCCGUGAACCAUCGAGUCUUUGAACGCAAGUUGCGCCCGAAGCCUCGGCUAAGGGCACGUCUGCCUGGGCGUCACGCAUCGCGUCUCCCCCAAACCGCCAAGGCGGAGGGGAAGGAAGAUGGCUUCCCGUGCCUCACCCGGCGCGGUUGGCCUAAAUUUGGAGCCCGCGGCACUUAGCUCACGCGGCGAUAGGUGGUGAACAAGGCCUUGGCCGUGCAAACAACCCGCUGCGAAGCUCUAUGUCACGUGCGCUCGUCGGACCCUUUGAAGUUGCCUUCGGUGACUUAAAACCUUUGCGACCCCAGGUCAGGCGGGGCUACCCGCUGAAUUUAAGCAUAUCAAUAAGCGGAGGA